GGAAGUUUAGCUCAGUGGUAGAGCAAUCGACUGCAGAUCGAUAGGUCCGGCGUUCAACUCGCCGAACUUCCU
This is a non-coding RNA of Rhagoletis zephyria (snowberry fruit fly), 72 nucleotides long. NCBI's taxonomy places the organism in Eukaryota, Metazoa, Arthropoda, Insecta, Diptera, Tephritidae. The record is from the annotation of a RefSeq genome assembly.